RNAcentral lists this unclassified non-coding RNA (248 nucleotides) under Hevea brasiliensis (rubber tree). Lineage: Eukaryota; Viridiplantae; Streptophyta; Magnoliopsida; Malpighiales; Euphorbiaceae. The record is from RNAcentral.
CUGUCAACUGCAUAGAAAGGCAGUGAAGGCCUUUUGGCGUGGUCCUUGCAGCAAGCCUAAUAAGAAACAUUGUUUGAUUCUUCUGUGCUUGAACUUGUUCUUCAGCACCGUAAGUCAUGGCACGGAGCUUUGUGACCAUGGCGGAGCAAUGCGGGAAAAUACGACUGGCUUUAGACAAGGAAACCUCCAUGGACUUCAUUUUCUUUAGUGCACUCCUUGAUAAAUCUGCAUCCCACAUAACUUCCCCC